Long non-coding RNA from Poecilia latipinna (sailfin molly), 805 nucleotides. RefSeq lists it as uncharacterized. The record is from RefSeq and is a predicted model, not a curated record. The transcript has 3 exons. NCBI's taxonomy places the organism in Eukaryota, Metazoa, Chordata, Actinopteri, Cyprinodontiformes, Poeciliidae.
ACAGGUCUCCCAUGUCCAGCCCGACCCCCCAGCGCCGUGCCCCCCCCGGGCCGCCCCGCCCCGGGGUCCGCGCCGCUCCGUCCCGCCCUGUGGUUUCCCCCGAUCCUGGAGGACCGCCGCCGUCUGUCCCCUCACGGCCCAAUAGAGCGCCCCCACCUGGAGUCCCCAGAAUCUCAAUCAGUGACCAAUGAGGAUUCCACCAAUGUCACAGACCUGCUGCGUCUCCAUCCCGACCCUCCAGACCAGCCUGACUCCGCCCAAAUACCCAAAUACCCCGCCUCAUGACUCCGACCCCUGAUUCCACCCAAUCACCAUCACUGAACCACAAGCGAGCACCGAGCCGUCCCGGUCGGUUCUGGUUCUGCUCCUGGUUCUGUUGGUCCACCGGAACCAGCAGAACGUUAAUUUCUCUCACCCGGUGAGAAAGUUCUGCUGGAGGUUCUGGAAGGGUCCACUGUCGGUCCUCUGUGGUUCCUGGGUUCUCCAGCCAUCGCCAUUGGGUUCGGUCCAAUCAGCUUUCAGGUUCUGUUGAUCCAUCUGGACUGGGCUUGUCGGUACCGCCGUCCUUUUGAUGGGAUUCUGGUUCUGAUCCACUCCAGAUGGGUUCCUGCUGGGCUGGUCCUGACCCACUGCUGACCUGUCCUCUCUCUGUCCUCUGUCCCAGUCGCCCCAGUAAAGGUAGCCCCGCCCACGGAGAGAGCCCCCAGUCGUCCAUGGAGGGCUGACCCGACGACCUCUGACCCCUGAACCGUGUGUGAUCCGCUCCCCUCAUGUUGGUGACCAUUAGUAGCUCGUUGUGAUGAAU